CCUACGGGUGGCAGCAGUGGGGAAUAUUGGACAAUGGGCGAAAGCCUGAUCCAGCCAUGCCGCGUGUGUGAAGAAGGCCUUCGGGUUGUAAAGCACUUUCAGUGGGGAAGAAAGCCUUGGGGCUAAUACCCUCGAGGAAGGACAUCACCCACAGAAGAAGCACCGGCUAACUCCGUGCCAGCAGCCGCGGUAAUACGGAGGGUGCGAGCGUUAAUCGGAAUUACUGGGCGUAAAGCGCGCGUAGGCGGUCUGAUAAGCCGGUUGUGAAAGCCCCGGGCUCAACCUGGGAACGGCAUCCGGAACUGUCAGGCUAGAGUGCAGGAGAGGAAGGUAGAAUUCCCGGUGUAGCGGUGAAAUGCGUAGAGAUCGGGAGGAAUACCAGAGGCGAAGGCGGCCUUCUGGACUGACACUGACGCUGAGGUGCGAAAGCGUGGGUAGCAAACAGGAUUAGAUACCCGAGUAGUC
RNAcentral lists this ribosomal RNA (465 nucleotides) under Vreelandella stevensii. Its description in RNAcentral is "partial 16S ribosomal RNA". It matches the Rfam family "Bacterial small subunit ribosomal RNA", at positions 338 to 795 of the family's 1533-position model. The record is from RNAcentral. Lineage: Bacteria; Pseudomonadati; Pseudomonadota; Gammaproteobacteria; Oceanospirillales; Halomonadaceae.